GGUUUUAUGGAAAAUAGCUGUUUUAAAAAAAUUAAUUGAAUUUAAGUCCUCCAUAAAAACUUGUAGGCGCACUUAAGGGACGAGAAGACCCUGUGGAUUUUUAUUUGUUAGAGAAUAAAUUUUAUAAUAUUUUAUUUUUUAUUCAAAUUUGGUUGGGAUGACAAAAAAAUUAACUUUAUUAAAAAAAAUAAUAUAGAUCCUUUUUAAGGAAAAAAGAAUAAAUUACCCCAGGGAUAACAGCGUAAUACU
Molecule: ribosomal RNA, 249 nt
Filed under: Candona sp. 59 IK-2020
Lineage: Eukaryota; Metazoa; Arthropoda; Ostracoda; Podocopida; Candonidae
Description: partial large subunit ribosomal RNA
Source: RNAcentral